RNAcentral lists this ribosomal RNA (796 nucleotides) under uncultured archaeon. Its description in RNAcentral is "bacterial SSU rRNA". It matches the Rfam family "Archaeal small subunit ribosomal RNA", at positions 85 to 879 of the family's 1478-position model. The record is from RNAcentral.
ACUGCUCAGUAACACGUGGAUAACCUGCCCUUGGGUCCGGCAUAACCCCGGGAAACUGGGGAUAAUUCCGGAUAACGCACAUAUGCUGGAAUGCUUUGUGCGUAAAAUGGAUUCGUCUGCCCAAGGAUGGGUCUGCGGCCUAUCAGGUAGUAGUGGGUGUAAUGUACCUACUAGCCUACAACGGGUACGGGUUGUGAGAGCAAGAGCCCGGAGAUGGAUUCUGAGACAUGAAUCCAGGCCCUACGGGGCGCAGCAGGCGCGAAAACUUUACAAUGCGGGAAACCGUGAUAAGGGGACACCGAGUGCCAGCAUCAUAUGCUGGCUGUCCAGGUGUGUAAAAUACACCUGUUAGCAAGGGCCGGGCAAGACCGGUGCCAGCCGCCGCGGUAACACCGGCGGCCCGAGUGGUGAUCGUGAUUAUUGGGUCUAAAGGGUCCGUAGCCGUUUUGGUCAGUCCUCCGGGAAAUCUGACGGCUUAACCGUUAGGCUUUCGGGGGAUACUGCCAGGCUUGGAACCGGGAGAGGUAAGAGGUACUACAGGGGUAGGAGUGAAAUCUUGUAAUCCCUGUGGGACCACCUGUGGCGAAGGCGUCUUACCAGAACGGGUUCGACGGUGAGGGACGAAAGCUGGGGGCACGAACCGGAUUAGAUGCCCGGGUAGUCCCAGCCGUAAACGAUGCUCGCUAGGUGUCAGGCAUGGCGCGACCGUGUCUGGUGCCGCAGGGAAGCCGUGAAGCGAGCCACCUGGGAAGUACGGCCGCAAGGCUGAAACUUAAAGGAAUUGGCGGGGGAGCAC